CCCUCCCGGCCACGCCCGGACGCGCUCCCUGCGGACGCGCUCGGCUGUGCGUCUCCUCGGUUUCUCUCGCGGCUCACUGGACCGUCCGUCUCCUGAGGCUCAGGUCUCCCUCCAGCGCCCCCGCCCACUCAGGCUCCAUCUCUUCCUGCGUCUCUCGGCCUCUUGCCAUCCCUCUGCCGGUGACUCUGCCCCUGGAAAAGGUGGACCCCGAGCACCUCCUGACAAGGCAAAGGUAAGUCACAUCCCGGGAGAGGGGGGAGGGGCUGGAUCUUGGGGAGAACUUCCAGCUCCAAGUCCCCAUGGGGUACAAAACCACUGCAGAGGGUGGAGCACAGGGCCCUCCUCCCCACCUGAUUGCAGGAAUAACCUUCAGGCAGCAGAGGGCACUCGGGGCCACAGAGAGCAGGAAAAUCCCAGACAUCCCUCUAGACUCCAAAGCCUAGAGAGCAGAGCAGCAGGUGGAACACAGGACGGAGGGCUGGCACCUAACCACUGGCAAAGGGCAGGAGGCCCCACCCUUUCUAUUAACUCAGGCCUGAGGUCUUCUAAAUGAGCUGAGGAGGGCUCAAAUCACAGGGCCUGGUCCCUCCACUGGAGUCUGAUGACACCUCAACCCUCAAACUCUCUCCAGAACAUGCUGCACCAACCAAAGCUCUUAGGCCCACAGCCCUGCGGUCUGAGACUGAGGGGCCUCUCCCCCUCCUUCUGUCACAACUGAAGAACGUCAGACCCCGGCUCCAUAGUGUGGACCGAGAGGGCGUUAGGCUGAAGGUCUUAUAGGAGAACCCCCCUCUCUGACCCUGGGCCUCUGGGCAGACCUGCCCCUUCUCUCAAAGCAGGAAAGGCAGCCAGAUAGCCUGGAGUGACUGGCAGAAUGCACGCUCGAGGUCAGCUGGAUGGAUGAGGAGUGAACCAAUGAGCAGACGCAAGGAGAACCAACACAGCACAGACAGGAGAGGGUGACAAGCACCACCCCGCCACCUCCAGCUAUGGGAGAUGA
Molecule: long non-coding RNA, 1000 nt
Filed under: Sus scrofa (pig)
Lineage: Eukaryota; Metazoa; Chordata; Mammalia; Artiodactyla; Suidae
Description: lncRNA (ENSSSCG00005001238.1)
Source: RNAcentral